AACGAACGCUGGCGGCAGGCCUAACACAUGCAAGUCGAGCGAGACCUUCGGGUCUAGCGGCGGACGGGUUAGUAACGCGUGGGAACGUGCCCUUCUCUGCGGAAUAGCCACUGGAAACGGUGAGUAAUACCGCAUACGCCCUUCGGGGAAAGAUUUAUCGGAGAAGGAUCGGCCCGCGUUAGAUUAGAUAGUUGGUGGGGUAACGGCCUACCAAGUCUACGAUCUAUAGCUGGUUUUAGAGGAUGAUCAGCAACACUGGGACUGAGACACGGCCCAGACUCCUACGGGAGGCAGCAGUGGGGAAUCUUAGACAAUGGGCGCAAGCCUGAUCUAGCCAUGCCGCGUGUGUGAUGAAGGUCUUAGGAUCGUAAAGCACUUUCGCCAGGGAUGAUAAUGACAGUACCUGGUAAAGAAGUCCCGGCUAACUCCGUG
RNAcentral lists this ribosomal RNA (432 nucleotides) under uncultured bacterium. RNAcentral's name for it is "bacterial SSU rRNA". It matches the Rfam family "Bacterial small subunit ribosomal RNA", at positions 29 to 507 of the family's 1533-position model. The record is from RNAcentral.